This 462-nucleotide ribosomal RNA is filed under the name uncultured bacterium. Its description in RNAcentral is "partial 16S ribosomal RNA". It matches the Rfam family "Bacterial small subunit ribosomal RNA", at positions 339 to 795 of the family's 1533-position model. The record is from RNAcentral.
CUACGGGGCGCUGCAGUGAGGAAUUUUUCACAAUGGACGAAAGUCUGAUGGAGCAAUACCACGUGAACGAUGAAGGUCUUCUGAUUGUAAAGUUCUUUUAUUUAGGAAAAAAAGCGUGCUAGGAAAUGAGUGCGCCUUGAUGGUACUAAUUGAAUAAGUGACAGCUAACUAUGUGCCAGCAGCUGCGGUAAAACAUAGGUCACGAGCAUUAUCCGGAUUUAUUGGGCGUAAAGGAAGCGUAGGCGGGGAGGUUGAUCCAUUGUUAAAAGCAUUUGCUUAACAAAUGCGUGCAUUGGAGAUCGCCUCCCUAGAGUUAAUCAGGGGGUACUGGAAUUCAAUGUGUAGCGGUGGAAUGCGUAGAUAUAUUGAGGAACACCAGAGGCUAAGGCGAGUACCUAGGAUAUAACUGACGCUGAGGCUUGAAAGCGUGGGGAGCAAAUGGGAUUAGAUACCCCAGUAGUC